AUUGAACGCUGGCGGCAUGCCUUACACAUGCAAGUCGAACGGUAACAGGUCUUCGGAUGCUGACGAGUGGCGAACGGGUGAGUAAUACAUCGGAACGUGCCCGAUCGUGGGGGAUAACGAGGCGAAAGCUUUGCUAAUACCGCAUACGAUCUACGGAUGAAAGCGGGGGAUCUUCGGACCUCGCGCGGACGGAGCGGCCGAUGGCAGAUUAGGUAGUUGGUGGGAUAAAAGCUUACCAAGCCGACGAUCUGUAGCUGGUCUGAGAGGAUGAUCAGCCACACUGGGACUGAGACACGGCCCAGACUCCUACGGGAGGCAGCAGUGGGGAAUUUUGGACAAUGGGCGAAAGCCUGAUCCAGCCAUGCCGCGUGCAGGAUGAAGGCCUUUGGGUUGUAAACUGCUUUUGUACGGAACGAAAAGCCUCUUUCUAAUAAAGAGGGGUCAUGACGGUACCGGAAGAAUAAGCACCGGCUAACUACGUG
RNAcentral lists this ribosomal RNA (482 nucleotides) under uncultured bacterium. RNAcentral describes it as "partial 16S ribosomal RNA". It matches the Rfam family "Bacterial small subunit ribosomal RNA", at positions 30 to 507 of the family's 1533-position model. The record is from RNAcentral.